CUGCCCCGGCUCCUCCACGCGGUGCUGUGCCUCUGCCAGGGGACAGGUCAGUCACGCAGAAAGCAGCGCAGCACGCUCACGCCAGCUGUGCUCAGGCUCCGGACGCCUGGUGACAGCGCAGAGCAGCAGCUCUCCCUGCUCGGCUGCCAGCGGUGCUCGGCGCGAUGGGACCACGAGAUGGAGCCGUCUGCCCGCACACCGAGCCCGGGCCGCUCCUCUGACCAGCCCCCGCUCCAGCUGCGGGGGAGGGAGAAGCGCCCGGGCCCCAACGAAGUUGUUACGAAACAGAGAAAAAGCACAAAGCCAGCAGCAUUCUGGAAAGGUCGGGGGCAGAUUUCUCAUUCACAUCUGGUGCUUCUACAUCCUUCCUAUUGAUUGGCUUAGGCACGGAUGAGGAACACUCAGAUGGCAGCUUGCAUGACUGGCCUGUAUACAGUUGCACAAGAUCUCACUGGUCACACCCUCAACGGCUCCUAAGUUAUUUGAGAUUCCUGGAACUGUUUAACUGACACAUAAACAGAAUUUGGAGUUCAGCUGGCUCUUUCCUGUACCAGGAUAAAUUACCACAGCUACAAAGAUGGAAGAUCAGUAAAAGUAAACGAGAGAUAUCUGCCCUGUGCAUCCAAACAGCACAGCAGGAAAGCUCUCAGCAACAUCUACCGUGUUUCCCUGUUUCCCAGAGUGAAGAACUCCUGACUCAAACCCUUUGAGCCACCAAUCAACCUUACUGACACUGCAAGAAUGGUCUCUGCACAGUGCUCAGGGGACAGCUGACUUCUUCCAUGCUUCCAAUUAAAGAUUCCACAACUCCCAAACUGUGUGGCACACUCAUGGUGACAAUUUCCUGCAAUGAACCCUGGUUAAAGCACUGUGAAGUGGCCAGGCCUCUUACAGCCAAAAAAAUCUGGACUAAAGCAGAAAUAUUCAAAAUCUGUUACAGUGGCCAUUCCAAGUGACAACUCCUGCUUUUCAUCUAGCAAAAUGGCGUUGUCAUAAGUACUUUGUCAAUAAUGAGGUUUUCUGGCCUAUGAUACAAGCAUCUUGGGGUUUAUCCACAGAUAGGUACCCUGAGCAGGGUAGAUAGGUAUGCUGAGAAGCCCCCCAUUUCCUUUUCAAAAUGAUAGUUUGGGGCUAGGGAUGCUUUCUAGCCUUCACAGGUGGGAGAGAGAGCCUCACAAUUUUUCUAGUUUAGCCAUACAUGCCACAGAAAGCAACAUCCCUUAAAGAGCCCCACCAGAGCCUUCUAAUAGACACUGCUAGCUUUUGAGCAGCUGCUCUAUCCAAAAUGAACUUUCAUGUCUGUCAUUAGUCAACAGUGACUUUUCCAUCAUUUAAACCAGAUUGCUCUGACCUUUCAAUGUAGGCAUCAACACCUGAGCUGGUCACCUUCCUCCUUUGAAACCAAGAGAGACACUUCUAGAAGUGAUGAAGCUCAUCCUGAAGUACUUAUCUAAUUAUGCCCUGGAAGUGCCUACAACCUCUCCAAGAUGUUGAAAAAGGAGCUCACAACUACUAACUCAGGUGCAGUCACCUUCAGAACAUUUUACACGUCCUGUAGGAUUUUCCAGAUGUCUCAAGAGAAGAAGAAAAUGCAAUAGAGACAAAAGAAGGUCGUGAGUCUGAAAGGUCAUAUGGCACAUUUUGCUCAGAGGCUUUCCACUGAUUAACUACAUGAAUGGAAACAUGUCCAAACCCCUUACAACAUCUUGAUACUUUGACAAAACUUGUACACAGAAAUAUAAGAGUGGUCAUCAUUCUGGUACACAAAUGCACUAACACUCUGAUUACAUUUCACACUGCUGGAAGUCCUGAAGAAUUGGGCUACUGUUUAGCAAGUCAAGAAAGAAUAAAACUGAAGGUUUCAAGGCAUUAGUGCCUCAGCUCCUCUGCCUGUGGAGAAGAAAUGGUACUAGAAGUUAACGCUGUUACACAAUUUGAGGUAAAAAAAUAUUAAAGAAUACAAAACAGCUAUUGUAAUAACAUAUUUGUCAUAUUUGUAAAAAAAAGCACAAGAUAUAAUUAAAAGCAGUCUCUGCAGUUUA
This is a non-coding RNA of Cyanistes caeruleus (blue tit), 2042 nucleotides long. NCBI's taxonomy places the organism in Eukaryota, Metazoa, Chordata, Aves, Passeriformes, Paridae. The record is from RefSeq and is a predicted model, not a curated record.